Phasianus colchicus (ring-necked pheasant) is the source of this 3419-nucleotide non-coding RNA. NCBI's taxonomy places the organism in Eukaryota, Metazoa, Chordata, Aves, Galliformes, Phasianidae. The record is from RefSeq and is a predicted model, not a curated record.
CAGGUCAGCUGGGGGAAGGACUGGACAUUUCAAUGUGUAACUUAUACGUGAAUUUUUCUGCAAGUAAGAAUUUCAAUUUUUGCCACAAUGGUACACUUGGGACAACUUUUCUGAUACCUGUGCAGAAAUGAUAACAGAUGGGUUAGGAAAAUAUGCAUCAUAGGUGCAAAAAUAGUCCUACAGCAAAGUGGUGAUGCUGCUGAAAUGCAGUAGAGUCAGUGCUUACUUCCAGGUUGAAAAACAUACUGACCUUAUAUUUCGACCUCCUUCCUCACCUGUUUGGGAAAAAAAUUGUAGCUUUUUUUUUGAGUCUGUUGUUUUCCAUGCAGGCUACAGAAAGCAUUGCAACAUCUGCUUGGGCAACACCAUUUGCUCCUUUAUUAAAAAACAACGCACUCUGCAUACCAUGUUUUUAGAUCAUGUACAUUUACGUAGAUGCUCACACACAAAUAUUUCACAGAACGGCCAGGGUUGGAAGGGACCUCGAGGAUCAUGAAUCCCCAUGAAUUUCACGAGAUCCGACAGCUCUUCCAGGAUUAAUUUCCAGUUGUAGGCUCUUAAACCCAACCGAAGGGAACAAAACGUCUGGAUAGUCCUGCCGGAUGAGACAAAGUUCGGGGCUCCCGCGGCUCGGGGGAGUCCAAGGCAAAACGCCGCACCUGCUCGGCGCCGCCCCCGCUCCUGGACGCUGAAGGACAACGCGCCUCACCGCCCCGCUCUGGAAGGCGCACGGAGGGCGCAUGCGCGGCCCCGCCGCUCGGGCGGGCAAAUUCAAACCUGCCCUCGCGCCCCUCCGCUCCGCAGGGGUAGCGGCUGGGCUGACGUCAUUGCGCCGCGUCCUUCUCCGUGGUUUCCGGCGCUCGUGCGCGCGGAGCGGGCGGGCGCUCUCCGCAUCCCUUCCUGCCGCCUCGGGGCCUGCGAGCUCCGGCUACAGGCUGUCGCAACGACGCCGGCGAUGGCAGCGGGGCGCCUGGAGGCGGCCGCAUCGCGGGUGGCUGUGCUGGAGGAAGAGCUGCGGUGCCUGGCGGAGGAGCUGAGCCGCUGCCAGUACGAAGAUCUGCAAUAUCAGAUGAAGUUUGGUGGAGGCAGAUGAAAGACCCUCUGCAUGUUUGUUAACUGAACUUACAUUAUACGAGGGCUGCUCCAAAAGUAAUGCUUCUUAUUUUAUUUUGUUGGCCAAUGACGUCAGAGGCAAAUAUUGGUGGUAUGGCAGUUAGAAGUUGAACCUCCAGACCAGUAUUUUAUUACAUGCUGUUAGCAUGCAACAGAUGGCAGACCAUGUCUGUCAAAGUGAUAUUUGACAUAGAAGUACAUCUGAAGCAAAGGUAUGGAAUUGAAUUCCUCCAUUUGGAAGGAACUGUAUUUAUUGACAUCAGUAUUGGCAUGUUUCAGCAGUGGCAGCAGUGCCGUGAAAGAAAAUACGUAUUCUGGAUGGUCAUGCACCGCUGUCACCAUGAAAUGAAGAGCUUCUUGGUCAGCCCAUCUGGGUGAAUCAGCUGAUGGUGAUGACUGCAGUGAAAAACAGUGUUUUGUAGCUGAGAAUUUGCUCUAUCAAGUAGUGCUAUUGUGCUCCUGGUAUUUGUUGUAGUUUUCAUGGAAAUAAAUAGGAGGCAUUACUUUUGGAAUGUAGUACGUAAGAUAUUUCUUGAAAUGGGUUAUAAAUAAUAGUAACUUGUAGUUAAGUGUCUGAUUUUCCCUUUUAGAUUUGUUCGUGUGCAUUUGUGUGCAUUAAUGUUUGUUCAUUAAUGAGCCCGUUCCAAUUAUUUUGAAGUGAGCAACCGGAAUUUUCUUCUUAAUUUAUUGAUCCAGCAUGAAGCUGAAGGUGGUUAUGUCCUGGAUUAUGUCAUUAUUAGAGAUGAGAUAUGCUGUCACCACUAUGAAUGAACUGGUUUCAAAACUACAAUUCAUGGAAUGGUUACGUAUGAAUUUCCCAUCGAAGCUCAAGAUGUAGCCCUGUUGGAUAAAGCAAUGUACAAUUUUGGGGUAGGAAAAGGAUGAUCCUUCUGGAUUUUCUGGAAACUGGACAAUCCCUCAACUCUGACUGCUGUGUUGUGACCCUGUCUGAGUUGAAGGCUCACACUUCCAGAGUCAGGCUGGAGAAGUUUCUCUUUCAGCAUGAUAACGCCAGGCCUCAUCUGUUUGAAGACCAUGAAGCACGUUGCCAAUCUUAGCUGGACUUUCCUACCACCUCUAACAUAAAGUCUGGGUUUGGCACCUUCUGACUUCCAUCUGUUCAGGCCAAUGAAAGAUGGUCCACUUGGGCAAGAUUUUUCUAGCAUUAGCGCCAUCCCAGCACCUGUGAAACAAUGGAUCACCUCCACUAAAGGGACCUUUGUGAGCAUGGCAUGCAGCUCUUGUUUAUCACUCCUGAAAAUACAUAGCUAAAUGGUGGUGACUGUAUUGAAAAUAGCAUUCUACUGCUAUGAAUUUGCACUGUCAAGUAGUACUAGUGUGCUUUUUUUAUCAGCUGUAGUUUCCAUGGUAGUAAGUAGGAGAUGUUACUUUUGGAGCCGUCUGCUUGCUUUUGGCUACUGUAUUUUUCUGUCACAAGAUCCUGGUGUUGCUGACCCUUUUUCUUAUUUGAUGUAGUGUUGUAUUCUAAGAUUUUUACCUCAUCGCGUUUUUUAGCCUUUUAAGAUAAGUCUAGAAGUUGUUGGCUUAGAGUUACAGUACUUGGUGUUUUAUUUAGUUUUUGUAACAACGUUGUGGGAGCUUGAAUCGUGAUAAGUAGAUUCUUGAGCAUAGCAAUUCCGUUCCUGUUGUUUUGUAAAUACUGAUACUGUUUUAUCAUUCUGAAAUAAGAAGGCUAUUAAGAAAACGGUCUCAAGUUCCCAAACCAUCAAUGGUGGAGACUUUUAUAAAACUGAGAAAGAAAAUAUUUGGAGUCUCUUUGUCUCUGGUAUUCUGCUGUUUGGGAAAAUAAUGAUGGCUGCAUCUGCAGCAGAACACUGUGUAAGUAUUUUGAUACUCAGUUAAUGAACAACUCUUCAUUUCAGUGCUCCUUUACUUCUAAUUUUACUUAAGAAUAGCUUGAAUGAUGGAGUUGUUUGCUGAAAACAAUUGCGGAGGAGAAGACAUGAAUACUUUUUUUCUGACCUUGUUCCAGUUCUGUGUCUCGCUCUAUUUUGUUGGGGAACAGUAGGAAGGAAGAGGUCAGACAGUGAGUUUUAACACAUCUGGUUUCUGUUACUUGCUUUAAUUGCUGCAUUCUAUUUUAGUGUUUUAUACUUUUGCUUACCACCUAAAUAUCUUGAGAGCCCUACUUGGAAUAUCUCUAACAGCUAUGUCCAUAUUCCUCUUUGGAGUUCUUGGCUCUCAUUGGUGUUUAUAAGAUGCGGGGUGUGCUUUCUGAUUCUCCUUUUCCCUUGUGGUUCUGUAUUUUUUUUUUUUUUUGAGCAAAUGAAAGUGCUGUUUUUUUG